GACGAACGCUGGCGGCGUGCUUAACACAUGCAAGUCGAACGGAAAGGCCCUGCUUUUGUGGGGUGCUCGAGUGGCGAACGGGUGAGUAACACGCGAGUAACCUGCACUUGACUUUGGGAUAACUCCAGGAAACUGGGGCUAAUACCGGAUAGGAGCUCUUGCUGCAUGGUGGGGGUUGGAAAGUUUCGGCGGUUGGGGAUGGACUCGCGGCUUAUCAGCUUGUUGGUGGGGUAGUGGCUUACCAAGGCUUUGACGGGUAGCCGGCCUGAGAGGGUGACCGGCCACAUUGGGACUGAGAUACGGCCCAGACUCCUACGGGAGGCAGCAGUGGAGAAUAUUGCACAAUGAGCGGAAGCCUGAUGCAGCAACGCCGCGUGCGGGAUGACGUCCUUCGAGUUAUAAACCGCUUUCUCCUGUGACGAAGCGUGAUUGACGGUAAUGGGUAAAGAAGCACCGGCUAACUACGUG
Molecule: ribosomal RNA, 468 nt
Filed under: uncultured bacterium
Lineage: Bacteria
Description: partial 16S ribosomal RNA
Rfam family: Bacterial small subunit ribosomal RNA
Source: RNAcentral